RNAcentral lists this ribosomal RNA (206 nucleotides) under uncultured bacterium. Its description in RNAcentral is "partial 16S ribosomal RNA". It matches the Rfam family "Bacterial small subunit ribosomal RNA", at positions 568 to 774 of the family's 1533-position model. The record is from RNAcentral.
CUCGUAGGUGGCCAACUAAGUCAGACGUGAAAUCCCCAGGCUCAACUUGGGAACUGCGUCUGAUACUGGAUGGCCUGAAUUCGGGAGAGGGAUGCAGAAUUCCAGGUGUAGCGGUGAAAUGCGUAGAUAUCUGGAGGAAUACCGGUGGCGAAGGCGGCAUCCUGGACCGAGAUUGACACUGAUGAGCAAGGCUAGGGGAGCAAACG